This 328-nucleotide unclassified non-coding RNA is filed under the name soil metagenome. Its description in RNAcentral is "partial contains 5.8S ribosomal RNA, internal transcribed spacer 2, and large subunit ribosomal RNA". The stretch from base 1 to 120 matches the Rfam family "5.8S ribosomal RNA", at positions 35 to 154 of the family's 154-position model. The record is from RNAcentral.
GAUGAAGAACGUAGCGAAAUGCGAUAAGUAGUGUGAAUUGCAGAAUUCAGUGAAUCAUCGAAUCUUUGAACGCACAUUGCGCCCCUUGGUAUCCCGAGGGGCAUGCCUGUUCGAGCGUCAUUUCACCACUCAAGCCUGGCUUGGUGUUGGGCGACGUCCCCUUUGGGGACGCGCCUCGAAACGCUCGGCGGCGUGGCACCGGCUUUAAGCGUAGCAGAAUCUUUCGCUUUGGAAGUCGGGGCCCCGUCUGCCGGAAGACCUACUCGCAAGGUUGACCUCGGAUCAGGCAGGGAUACCCGCUGAACUUAAGCAUAUCAAUAGCGGAGGA